UAAUACCAGCUCCCCGAGUGGUGGGGGUGAUUAUUGGGCUUAAAGCGUCCGUAGCCGGCCUGAAUUAGUCCCGCGUCAAAUCCAGCGACCUAAUCGUUGGGUUGCGGGGGGAUACGGUCAGGCUUGGGAGCGGGAGAGAUUAGCGGUAUUCCUGGGGUAGGGGUGAAAUCUUAUAAUCCUCGGAAGACCACCAAUGGCGAAGGCGGCUAAUCAGAACGCGUCCGACGGUGAGGGACGAAAGCUGGGGGAGCGAACCGGAUUAGAUACCCGGGUAGUCCCAGCCGUAAACGAUGCAGGCUAGCUGUUGAGUUGGCCACGAGCCAUCUCAGUGGCGCAGGGAAACCGUUAAGCCUGCCGCCUGGGGAGUACGAUCGCAAGAUUA
Molecule: ribosomal RNA, 382 nt
Filed under: uncultured archaeon
Lineage: Archaea
Description: bacterial SSU rRNA
Rfam family: Archaeal small subunit ribosomal RNA
Source: RNAcentral